This 3385-nucleotide ribosomal RNA is filed under the name Meloidogyne arenaria. RNAcentral's name for it is "eukaryotic LSU rRNA". It matches the Rfam family "Eukaryotic large subunit ribosomal RNA". Lineage: Eukaryota; Metazoa; Nematoda; Chromadorea; Rhabditida; Meloidogynidae. The record is from RNAcentral.
CUUUGACCUGAACUCAGUCGAGAGCACCCGCUGAACUUAAGCAUAUCAGUAAGCGGAGGAAAAGAAACUAAACAGGAUUCCCCAGUAACGGCGAGUGAAAAGGGAAAUGUCCAUCGCUAAAUCAUUUUGCCUCAGGCAUUAUGAGGUGUAGCGUAUAAGCCGUAAUCUUUGAUCAAGUGUCUCAAACAAGUCCCCUUGACAGGGGUUCCACAGAAGGUGCAAGUCCUGUACAUUGAGAUAAUUGAUCGAUAUUUGCGUGCUUUAGAGUCGGGUUGUUUGGGAUCGCAGCCCAAAGUCGGUGGUAAACUUCAUCUAAGACUCAAUAUUGCUACGAGACCGAUAGCAAACAAGUACUGUGAAGGAAAGUUGCAAAGCACUUUGAAGAGAGAGUUAAAGAGGACGUGAAACCGGUGAGGUGGAAACGGAUAGAGUCGGCGUAUCUUUCAAGUAUUCAUUUACAUUAUUUUUGUGUUGUGAUCUCUGAGCUCCAGAUUGGGACAGAAAGAAGCAGCAUAAUUUUCUGUGAUGCAUUUACCUGUUUGGUGCUUGGGGGUGUUUGAGGCAGAUUUGUGUCCGCCGUUUUGAGGCCAGCUUGCUGGUACCCAAACGGUGUUAGCAUUUUUUGUCUUGGACAUUUGAGUAUGGCUUACGGGCAUUUAUUAGUUCGAUCUGAGUGUAAGUUACGGUCGCAUGCGACACGUGCUUUUCAAUUAGUUCGGUCCAGUUAAUGCUCUCGUACUCGUUCCCCAUGUAAAAGCCGGUCAUCUAUCCGACCCGUCUUGAAACACGGACCAAGGAGUUUAUCGUGUGCGCAAGUUUUGGGUGUUAAAAACCUAAAGGCGAAAUGAAAGUAAAUGACUCUUUAGAGUCUGAUGUGCGAUCUUGUAAAAAAGUGCAGCAUGGCCCCAUUCUAACUGUUUACAGUAGGGUGGCGGAAGAGCGUACGCGGUGAGACCCGAAAGAUGGUGAACUAUUCCUGAGCAGGACGAAGCCAGAGGAAACUCUGGUGGAAGUCCGAAGCGGUUCUGACGUGCAAAUCGAUCGUCUGACUUGGGUAUAGGGGCGAAAGACUAAUCGAACCAUCUAGUAGCUGGUUCCCUCUGAAGUUUCCCCCAGGAUAGCUGGAGCUCACGAGUAGUUAUACUCGGUAAAGCGAAUGAUUAGAGGACUUGGGAACGAAAUGUUCUUAACCUAUUCUCAAACUCUAAAUGGGUAUGAUGUCAAAGUUGCUUGAUUUUGAACUUUGGCGUUGAAUACGAGCUCCAAGUGGGCCAUUUUUGGUAAGCAGAACUGGCGAUGUGGGAUGAACCAAACGCGGAGUUGCGGUGCCAAAGUGCCCGCUCAUUAGACCCCAUAAAAGGUGUUGGUUGAUACAGACAGCAGGACGGUGGCCAUGGAAGUCGGAAUCCGCUAAGGAGUGUGUAACAACUCACCUGCCGAAUCAACUAGCCCUGAAAAUGGAUGGCGCUGGAGCGGGCCACCUAUACUCUGCCGUCAUAUGCUUGUAUUUUCUGUGAAAAGUCUUGCAAUGACGUGUAAGAGGGUCGUAGUGGUUGCGUUGAAGGCUUUGGGUGUGCACCCAGCUGGAGCUUCCACUAGUGCAGAUCUUGGUGGUAGUAGCAAAUAUUCAAGUGAGAUCCUUGAAGACUGAAGUGGAGAAGGGUUCCACGUGAACAGCAGUUGAAUGUGGGUCAGUCGAUCCUAAGGCACCGGCUAAAGCCGUCUAGACACUGCGGGGAGAUGAGAUACUUAACGGUAUUUUGUCCACCCGGUUGCCGAAAGGGAAGUGGGUUAAUAUUCCCACACCAGGCAUGGGAGAUGGUGAUCCGCAAGGAUUACUUUGCGCGGUGACGCAAACGAACUCGUAGACCUCGUGUGGAGUCCGGGCCAGAGUUCUCUUUUCUGGUUUAGAGAUCAUGUCCCUGGAAGUGGCUCAGCCUGAGAUAGGGAUGCUGGUCUCGUAAAGCGCAGCGGUUCCUGUUGUGUCCCGUGUGCUCCACAUGAGCCGUGAAAAUGCGAGGGAGGCAAUUUAAAAUCUCCUGCUGAUCGUACCCAUAUCCGCAGCAGGUCUCCAAGGUGAACAGCCUCUAGUCGAUAGAAUAAUGUAGGUAAGGGAAGUCGGCAAAUUAGAUUCGUAACUUCGGGAAAAGAAUUGGCUCUAAAGGUUGGGUCAGUCGGGCUGUUGUGUGAAACAGGUGGACUUUGCUCGUGACUGCUUGCGCUUCCUUUCGGGGCGGCGCUUGUGGACUAGUAGUGAGGACUGCUUGUGGAGCGCUUCAGCUGCGUGCUAUUUCGCAAGAUAUAGUACUUCGAUUGGCGCUGAACAACCAGUUUAGAACUGGCACGAACUCCGGGAAUCCGACUGUCUAAUUAAAACAGAGGAGACGGAUGGUCCUUGCAGGACGUUGACCGUGUCUGAUUUCUGCCCAGUGCUCUGAAUGUUAAGCCAAGGAAACUUGAUUAAGCGCGGGUAAACGGCGGGAGUAACUAUGACUCUCUUAAGGUAGCCAAAUGCCUCGUCGGCUAACUACCGACGCGCACGAAUGGAUCAACGAGAUUCCCACUGUCCCUAUCUACUAUCUAGCGAAACCACAGCCAAGGGAACGGGCUUGGCAAAUUUAGCGGGGAAAGAAGACCCUGUUGAGCUUGACUCUAGUCUGACUUUGUGAAGAAUCAUGAGAGGUGUAGCAUAAGUGGGAGUCGCAAGACAACAGUGAAAUACCACUACUUUCAUCGAUUCCUUACUUAAUCGGUAAAACGGGAGUUGUGUCUACGGACCUUCAUUUUUGUUUUAAGACUAGCCACUCGGUGGUUGGUUGACUCGCGCCGAUGACAUUGUCAGGCGGGGAGUUUGACUGGGGCGGUACAUCUGUCAAAUUGUAACGCAGGUGUCCUAAGGCGAGCUCAGAGAGGACGGAAACCUCUCGUUGAGCAAAAAGGCAAAUGCUUACUUGAUCUUGAUUUUCAGUACGAAUACAGACCGCGAAAGCGUGGCUUAUCGAUCCUUUUGAGUUUGUAAAGUUUACAGCAAGAGGUGUCAGAAAAGUUACCACAGGGAUAACUGGCUUGUGGCGGCCAAGCGUCCAUAGCGACGUCGCUUUUUGAUCCUUCGAUGUCGGCUCUUCCUAUCAUUGCGAAGCAGAAUUCGCCAAGCGUUGGAUUGUUCACCCACCAAUAGGGAACGUGAGCUGGGUUUAGACCGUCGUGAGACAGGUUAGUUUUACCCUACUAAAUACUUGUUGCUAUGAUGGUAAUCCUGCUUAGUACGAGAGGAACCGCAGGUUCAGACAUUUGGUUCAUGUGCUUGGUCGAUAGGCCAAUGGCGCGAAGCUACCAUCUGAGGGAUUAUGACUGAACGCCUCUAAGUCAGAAUCCGCCCAGUCAU